AGUGAACGCUGGCGGUAGGCCUAACACAUGCAAGUCGAACGGCAGCACAGUAAGAGCUUGCUCUUACGGGUGGCGAGUGGCGGACGGGUGAGGAAUACAUCGGAAUCUACUUUUUCGUGGGGGAUAACGUAGGGAAACUUACGCUAAUACCGCAUACGACCUACGGGUGAAAGCAGGGGAUCUUCGGACCUUGCGCGAUUGAAUGAGCCGAUGUCGGAUUAGCUAGUUGGCGGGGUAAAGGCCCACCAAGGCGACGGUCCGUAGCUGGUCUGAGAGGAUGAUCAGCCACACUGGAACUGAGACACGGUCCAGACUCCUACGGGAGGCAGCAGUGGGGAAUAUUGGACAAUGGGCGCAAGCCUGGUCCAGCCAUACCGCGUGGGUGAAGAAGGCCUUCGGGUUGUAAAGCCCUUUUGUUGGGAAAGAAAAGCAGCAGGUUAAUACCCCGCUGUUCUGACGGUACCCAAAGAAUAAGCACCGGCUAACUUCGUG
This 492-nucleotide ribosomal RNA is filed under the name uncultured bacterium. RNAcentral describes it as "partial 16S ribosomal RNA". It matches the Rfam family "Bacterial small subunit ribosomal RNA", at positions 29 to 507 of the family's 1533-position model. The record is from RNAcentral.